Molecule: long non-coding RNA, 892 nt
Filed under: Eutrema salsugineum
Lineage: Eukaryota; Viridiplantae; Streptophyta; Magnoliopsida; Brassicales; Brassicaceae
Description: long non-coding RNA (ESAL_LNC000143)
Source: RNAcentral
CUGGUUUGGUUCUCACUGAGUAAUUUCCCCAAAUUACUCACCCCUCUCUUUUAAAUCCAUAUUUCGGGUGAGUGUGAUGAAUGUGAUUGUGAUGAUGUCUGGGAGCAACUAGACGAGUAGCUCUAGUGUGGUUUGCCUUCAGAGAUGGAGGAAGAUUUUUAUCGCUUUAAGAACUACUUUUCGUAUUUACUUUUAAGAUAUUGUUUUCUGCUCCAUUUCGGAUUUAUUCAAGUUAUUCAUUUCUAUUGUAAGACUCGACUUGGUCCGAUUUCAGAUCAGACUUAAGGAUUAUUCAGGAAUUAUUGGUUAGGUUAGAUAAUACUUCCGGUAUAAUCUGGUUUCCUUUGGAACCCAGUACCGGGGUGUUACAAGAGGGACUGAAUAUUGUGAAGCUGUGUGACUGGGAGGUGUGGCCUUGUGUGAUAGGCGGGUUGGAGACAUCAUUGCAUGCUAGUUGUUUGUGCAUCGCUAGGAUGCUUCAGUGCUGCUUGUUGGGUAGAUUCUGGACAUGUUGGUGGAAAAUAAAUGAGUGGGAAGGGAGUCUGGUUUGGUUCUCACUGAGUAAUUUCCCCAAAUUACUCACCCCUCUCCUUUAAAUCCAUAUUUCAGGUGAGUGUGAUGAAUGUGAUUGUGAUGAUGUCUGGGAGGAACUAGACGAGUAGCUCUAGUGUGGUGUACUUUUAGAGAUGGAGGAAGAUUUUUAUCGCUUUAAGAACUUUUUUUUGUAUUUUCUUUUAAGAUAUUGUUUUCUGAUUAUUUUCGGAUUUAUUCAAGUUAUUCAUUUCUAUUGUAAGACUGGAUUUGGUUGAUUUGGAAUAAGAUUUAAGGUUUAUUCAGGAAUUAUUGGUUAGGUUAGAUAAUACAGCCGGUUUAGUCGGGUUUCCUUUGGAAC